GAUGAACGCUGGCGGCGUGCCUAAUACAUGCAAGUCGAGCGAACAGACGAGGAGCUUGCUCCUCUGACGUUAGCGGCGGACGGGUGAGUAACACGUGGAUAACCUACCUAUAAGACUGGGAUAACUUCGGGAAACCGGAGCUAAUACCGGAUAAUAUAUUGAACCGCAUGGUUCAAUAGUGAAAGACGGUUUUGCUGUCACUUAUAGAUGGAUCCGCGCCGCAUUAGCUAGUUGGUAAGGUAACGGCUUACCAAGGCAACGAUGCGUAGCCGACCUGAGAGGGUAAUCGGCCCCCCUGGACCUGGACCACGGUCCAGACUCCUACGGGAGGCAGCAGUAGGAAAUCUUCCGCAAUGGCGAAAGCCUGACGGAGCAACGCCGCGUGAAUGAUGAAGGUCUUCGGAUCGUAAAACUCUGUUAUUAGGGAAGAACAAAUGUGUAAGUAACUAUGCACGUCUUGACGGUACCUAAUCAGAAAGCCACGGCUAACUACGUG
This 496-nucleotide ribosomal RNA is filed under the name uncultured bacterium. RNAcentral describes it as "partial 16S ribosomal RNA". It matches the Rfam family "Bacterial small subunit ribosomal RNA", at positions 28 to 507 of the family's 1533-position model. The record is from RNAcentral.